Molecule: ribosomal RNA, 445 nt
Filed under: uncultured bacterium
Lineage: Bacteria
Description: partial 16S ribosomal RNA
Rfam family: Bacterial small subunit ribosomal RNA
Source: RNAcentral
GUGAGGAAUAUUGGACAAUGGGCGCAAGCCUGAUCCAGCCAUGCCGCGUGCAGGAAGACGCAUCUAUGGUGUGUAAACUGCUUUUGUACGGGAAGAAACACUCCCUCGUGAGGGAGCUUGACGGUACCGUAAGAAUAAGGAUCGGCUAACUCCGUGCCAGCAGCCGCGGUAAUACGGAGGAUCCAAGCGUUAUCCGGAAUCAUUGGGUUUAAAGGGUCCGUAGGCGGUUUACUAAGUCAGUGGUGAAAGCCCAUCGCUCAACGAUGGAACGGCCAUUGAUACUGUUAGACUUGAAUUACAAGGAAGUAACUAUAAUAUGUAGUGUAGCGGUGAAAUGCUUAGAUAUUACAUGGAAUACCAAUUGCGAAGGCAGGUUACUACUUGUGGAUUGACGCUGAUGGACGAAAGCGUGGGGAGCGAACAGGAUUAGAAACCCGUGUAGUCC